UUUGAUCAUGGCUCAGGACGAACGCUGGCGGCGUGCUUAACACAUGCAAGUCGAACGGGAGUAUUGAAGAAGCUUGCUUUAGAGAUACUUUAGUGGCGGACGGGUGAGUAACGCGUGAGGAGCUGUCCUAUGCAGGGGGACAACAGCUGGAAACGGCUGCUAAUACCCCAUAAGCCGAGAGGUAAAAGGAUCAAUCCGGCAGAGGAGGUACUCGCGUCCUAUCAGCUAGUAGGUGAGGUAACGGCUCACCUAGGCGAAGACGGGUAGCCGGCCUGAGAGGGCGAACGGCCACACUGGAACUGAGAUACGGUCCAGACUCCUACGGGAGGCAGCAGUGGGGAAUAUUGGGCAAUGGGGGAAACCCUGACCCAGCGACGCCGCGUGGGUGAAGAAAUCCUUCGGGAUGUAAAGCCCUGUUGUAUGGGAAGAGCGGAAGACGGUACCAUACGAGGAAGCCCCGGCAAACUACGUGCCAGCAGCCGCGGU
RNAcentral lists this ribosomal RNA (486 nucleotides) under uncultured bacterium. RNAcentral's name for it is "bacterial SSU rRNA". It matches the Rfam family "Bacterial small subunit ribosomal RNA", at positions 12 to 521 of the family's 1533-position model. The record is from RNAcentral.